UCAGACGAUGCGUCAUGCAUAUCAAUAAGCGGAGGAAAAGAAACUAACAAGGAUUCCCUUAGUAACGGCGAGUGAAGCGGGAAGAGCUCAAAUUUGAAAUCUUCAAGGUUUUACCUUGACGAAUUGUAGUUUAAAGAAGUGUUUUCUGUUGAAGUUUUGGUAAAAGCUCUUUGGAAUAGGACAUCAUAGAGGGUGAGAAUCCCGUAUUUGACCAUUAUUUUCAGCUGUGUGAUACACUUUCAAAGAGUCGGAUUGUUUGGGAAUGCAGUCCAAAAUGGGUGGUAAAUUUCAUCUAAAGCUAAAUAUUGGCGAGAGACCGAUAGCGAACAAGUACCGUGAGGGAAAGAUGAAAAGAACUUUGAAAAGAGAGUUAAACAGUACGUGAAAUUGUCAAAAGGGAAGCGUUUGACACCAGUGUUGUUUUCUCGAAAAUCAAUUAAAAAGAGUUAGAUUUUGUUGUGUGUUGACCUUAACAGCUUGCAUUUCAAUUUUCUUGCUUUUUUUAAUGCACUUUUCGUUUAACAAGUCAACAUCAGUUUCUUUUGUUGUAAAAAGGUCAUUGGAAGGUGGCUUUCUUUUCGGAGAAAGUGUUUAUAGCCUUUGAUCUCUGCAAUCGGAGAGACUGAGGUCUGCAGCGUAGACUCUUCGGGGUUAGAUACAUUUGUGCUAAGCUAUAGCUUUUUAUAGACAACUUGUUGACUAUGAUUUAGUCUUGUAGCUUACUCGCUUAUGCUAUUUUACCUACGCUUAGGAUGUUGACACACGCGCGUGCUCG
RNAcentral lists this ribosomal RNA (775 nucleotides) under uncultured Neocallimastigales. RNAcentral describes it as "partial large subunit ribosomal RNA". It matches the Rfam family "Eukaryotic large subunit ribosomal RNA", at positions 18 to 645 of the family's 3401-position model. The record is from RNAcentral. Lineage: Eukaryota; Fungi; Neocallimastigomycota; Neocallimastigomycetes; Neocallimastigales.